RNAcentral lists this ribosomal RNA (460 nucleotides) under uncultured bacterium. Its description in RNAcentral is "partial 16S ribosomal RNA". It matches the Rfam family "Bacterial small subunit ribosomal RNA", at positions 338 to 795 of the family's 1533-position model. The record is from RNAcentral.
CCUACGGGGGGCAGCAGUGAGGAAUAUUGGUCAAUGGGAGGAAUCCUGAACCAGCCAAGUCGCGUGCAGGACGACGGCUCUACGAGUUGUAAACUGCUUUUGUACCGGGGUAAAAUGCCUUACGUGUAGGGCUUUGAAAGUACGGUACGAAUAAGGAUCGGCUAACUCCGUGCCAGCAGCCGCGGUAAUACGGAGGAUCCGAGCGUUAUCCGGAUUCAUUGGGUUUAAAGGGUGCGUAGGUGGUUUUAUAAGUUAGCGGUGAAAUACCGAUGCGCAACAUCGGGGCUGCCGCUAAUACUGUAGGACUAGAGAUCGCAUGAAGCAGGCGGAAUGUGUAGUGUAGCGGUGAAAUGCAUAGAUAUUACGCAGAACACCGAUUGCGAAGGCAGCUUGCUGGGCCGGAUCUGACACUGAUGCACGAAAGCGUGGGUAUCGAACAGGAUUAGAUACCCUUGUAGUC